UGGGGAAUAUUGGACAAUGGGCGAAAGCCUGAUCCAGCCAUGCCGCGUGAGUGACGAAGGUCUUCGGAUUGUAAAGCUCUUUUGGCGGGGACGAUAAUGACGGUACCCGCAGAAUAAGCCCCGGCUAACUUCGUGCCAGCAGCCGCGGUAAUACGAAGGGGGCUAGCGUUGUUCGGAAUUACUGGGCGUAAAGCGCACGUAGGCGGACUGAUAAGUCAGGGGUGAAAUCCCGGGGCUCAACCUCGGAACUGCCUUUGAUACUGUUAGUCUCGAGUCCGGAAGAGGUGAGUGGAAUUCCUAGUGUAGAGGUGAAAUUCGUAGAUAUUAGGAAGAACACCAGUGGCGAAGGCGGCUCACUGGUCCGGUACUGACGCUGAGGUGCGAAAGCGUGGGGAGCAAACAGGAUUAGAUACCCAGGUAGUCCCUGAGCGGGCUGGCAAGGCGCAU
RNAcentral lists this ribosomal RNA (447 nucleotides) under uncultured bacterium. RNAcentral describes it as "bacterial SSU rRNA". It matches the Rfam family "Bacterial small subunit ribosomal RNA", at positions 355 to 825 of the family's 1533-position model. The record is from RNAcentral.